Molecule: small nucleolar RNA, 107 nt
Organism: Gossypium raimondii (Peruvian cotton)
Lineage: Eukaryota; Viridiplantae; Streptophyta; Magnoliopsida; Malvales; Malvaceae
Rfam family: Plant small nucleolar RNA R71
About the family: R71 is a member of the C/D box family of snoRNAs containing the C (UGAUGA) and D (CUGA) box motifs.
Source: Rfam
AACCCAUACAUUGGACAUUUUCUAAGUAAUUCCUUAAAUCUUUCUUAGGCUUCGUACAUCGUUUCAUCCUCUGAUUAUCGAAAAGAUGUUAUUUCAUUUCUGAGCUU